RNAcentral lists this long non-coding RNA (221 nucleotides) under Mytilus galloprovincialis (Mediterranean mussel). The record is from RNAcentral. Lineage: Eukaryota; Metazoa; Mollusca; Bivalvia; Mytilida; Mytilidae.
CUGGUCUGUGUAAUAGUACUAGCAUUUACAUAUGCUAGCAAUGAGCUGCAAACUUACACCACAUUUACAAAAAGUAAGCUGUCUUCAAUAUUUUUCCUAUUUCAAAUUUUCGUUUAAAGACCUUAGUCACUAAGCUAUCUUAUUCUUAGUACAUGUACUGUGUUGGUCUGUGUUAUAGUACUAGCACUUACAUGUGCUUGGGAUAAGGUGCUUACUUAAAC